Long non-coding RNA from Vidua chalybeata, 450 nucleotides. RefSeq lists it as uncharacterized. NCBI's taxonomy places the organism in Eukaryota, Metazoa, Chordata, Aves, Passeriformes, Viduidae. The record is from RefSeq and is a predicted model, not a curated record. The transcript has 3 exons.
GAAAAUUCUCAUUGCAAAAUUGCACACCAAGAAGUAUUUUCAGCAUCGAGUGGUGUUGAUGAUGGAGUUUGCCCAUCUGGAAAACAGAGCGAAGACUCUGAGGCCCUCAGCAGUCAAGAACCAAACCUCUGAAUGAAGCUUAAAAAUAGUGUCUACAGGAAAACCUUUGCAACAUUACAGGACAAUGAGAUUACCAUCUGCAAAUCCUUGAAUAGUGAAAGGGUGAAUAAAAGUGAGCUUUCUAAGAGCUUCAAAGGCUGAAGCAUUACGUGAACCCUAAAACGAGCUUAUGUUGUGGAGCAGAGCUUUUUUGAUACAUCUUCUCAAUACUUUGAAUACAAGUUUUGACAGUUUUACUUGAGCAAAGACAUGGUCUAUGAGGAAAAGUAGAAUUUCAGUGAUGAAUUCAUCAUUGGUAUGAAAACCUUGUAGGCAGGCUUUUUAUUUACA